RNAcentral lists this long non-coding RNA (1574 nucleotides) under Ceratitis capitata (Mediterranean fruit fly). RNAcentral's name for it is "uncharacterized LOC110119024". Lineage: Eukaryota; Metazoa; Arthropoda; Insecta; Diptera; Tephritidae. The record is from RNAcentral.
CAACAGCUAUGUGAAUUGUAUAAACAAGCGUCAAGUAAGCAAGUAGCCAGGCAAGCAGCCAGCUCAGCGUCAGAGUGUUUCUCGCUACAAACGAGUGUGGUUGUCUUAAAAAUACGAAAUUCUAGUCGUGCGACGCUAUGCAGUUACUACAGCAGCGUUUAUGGGAACAAUUUUUCGAAAUAGAAAAUCUUACAAAGGCGAAAAUGUAAAAGAUAUACAUACAUACAUACAUAUUAUAUACACAUAUGUAUAUAGGCAUACAUGUAUGUAUCUAAACGUGUUAGCUGGUAAUUUAAACAUAUCUCUCAAAUGUAUUCACAUAUGCUAAGUAAAAUAGUGUGCAAAUAAAUUUUCUAAAAUAGUUUAUAUUUAAAAUAACAAAAAAAAAAUAUAAAUAAGAAAUUUAAAAAUUGUUGCUAAUAAAAUCGAUUGCAUAAAUUUUAAGUGUAAUUUAAACUUAAGAAUCUCAUUGCUAUCAAGAAAAGCUUGGGAAUUUGUUUAACACCAACUACUUGAGAAUUCAAAUAAAUAUAGAUAAGAAAUCGUUGUUGAAGUUGAAAACAUAAAAAUUAAAAAAAAAUUAUAAAUAAUACGUAGAAAAUAUAAACAUGAAAAAGUUAUAAAAAAUUUAAAAAGUAAAAUCAUUACGAAUAAAAUUUCGAAAAUUCAAAUAAAAAUACUUAUUUGAUUUAAUUUAAAAAAAAAAAAGUUAAAAUAUCAAUUACGAAAGCUAAAAAAAUAUUAAAACAAAUUUUAAUUGUCAACAAUUAUUCAAAGAAAAUUGAAAAAAAAAAACAAAAAAAAAAACUCUCAAACAACUGAAGUGCCAUAAUUUCAUGUGUAGAUUAAUUCAAGCCAACUUCAGCGCCUUUAAAGCGCCAACUGUAUAUAAACACUUGAAAAAAUAAUAUUGUGAGUUUAAGCUAAUUAAAAAAUACUUAUAAUUAAAAAGAUAAAAAAAUAAGCUAAAACAAUUAAAAGUCGCUUAAAGGGAAAAAAUUAAAAUUUGCGAGCUUAAGGCAAAUUAACAAGAAUAAAUAAUUUAAAGUUAAAAAAAAAUUAAAAACUUACAAAUUUGAUUUUAAGAGAGAAAGAACUACUUUAACAAACAUUUUAGGCAGAAAUUUAAUAAUACAAAAAUCACAGCAAUAAGUAUGUGCAAUAUUAUAAAAUAAAUUUAAAAGAAAUUCAAAUUCAAAAUUUUGUGCCAAAGUGAGUGAGAGUCGUAAAAGAAAUUAAUCAAUUUAAAAAUAUUUUCCUAAAAUCAAGCAAAUAGCAAAUGUAAAAAAAAUAUACAAAAAAAGAGCAAAUAUAUUUGAUUGAUGGAUUUUUUAAACAAAAACCUAGCAAACUUUAUUCUGCCAUUAAAAACUGAAUUUUGCAAUAAAUAUUAACAGAAAUAAAUAGUUAAACUUAAAAUAUAAAUAAAAAAAAAAAAGUUUUAAAAAAUUCUUUAAAGAAAAAUCUGAAGCUGCAUAAAAAUUGUUAGAAAUAAAGCUAAAUUUUUAGUGAAACAGUUGCGGCAGGAAAAGAUUAAUUUCCGUGAGUAUAUAUAUUUUUAAAAUAAUUAAAAA